Molecule: long non-coding RNA, 801 nt
Organism: Lolium rigidum
Lineage: Eukaryota; Viridiplantae; Streptophyta; Magnoliopsida; Poales; Poaceae
Exons: 3
Source: RefSeq, a predicted model, not a curated record
GACCAUUUACAAAUAAUGCGGUUCUGCCACGUCGGUUUGAUAGUUGGUGCGUUGUAAAAAUGUGUGCCUUCGAUGUGAAUAUCGCCAGGAGAUUACUGUCAUGUCGCUGUCUGUCCCGGUGUACUACUGGACAAACUACAUCAAGCUUUGCGUCUAGAAGGAGGCAACUUACUGUCCAACUUAAAUAGGUAUUGAGGUUUUGCAGGAUAUUGACAUGGCUCUUUGAUCACAUCUCCUGCUAUUUUCGAUCCUUCAGGUGGUAGAAAUGGCAGGACCACGAUUGUCGCAAAAAUGGUGAGAUAAGGCAAGCAAUCUGCUCUGUUCUGAGUACCUGCCAAAUGGAACUCUUUAUGAGCAUCUUCAAGAUGGGGAAGGAUGUCAGCUAUCUUGGCCCUGUCGUUUGGAGAUCGUGCGCAUUCUAAGUCACUUGCAAACUGACCUACGGCUUCCAUUCGCCGUCGCCACUGAAUCAUGCUUUCAUGUACACUCCUGGAAACCUGUAUUCCAGAAUCCGGUACACUUCAGAAGGUGCUGCUUGUGAAUUGGCCCUUCGUGCUUUGCAAAUGGAGGCAUGAACAUGGCCUGCAAGGAUUCUCUGGAUUGGCUUGUCCCUUACAUAGGUCAGUGAGGUUAGUUACUCUUUUAGAUUGGAAACGAUCCAGUGGCUGCUCAGCAAAAAGUUUCAGAUAAAAAGGGUACAUAGUGUAAUUGGAAGCUUUAACUUCAAUCUUUGUACCACACAUACUACUAAUACUUACUUGAACAGUGUGCCUUUUGAGGUAUUGUACCACACAUACUACA